RNAcentral lists this long non-coding RNA (211 nucleotides) under Homo sapiens (human). RNAcentral describes it as "non-protein coding lnc-PCSK2-3:1". Lineage: Eukaryota; Metazoa; Chordata; Mammalia; Primates; Hominidae. The record is from RNAcentral.
CUAUUAACAUUCAAGGACGUGGCCAUAGAAUUCUCUGCAGAAGAGUGGAAAUACCUGGACCGUGCCCAGAAGAAUUGAUAUAGAGAUGUGACGUUGCAGAACUACAGAAACCUGGGUGUUACUGUCUGUAACCCAGACCUGGUCACCUGUCUGGAGCAAAGAAAAGAGCCCUACAAUGUGAAGAUAUAUGAGACAGUAGCCAAACCCCCAG